AACUUCAUCCUUUGAAAAUCUAUCAUUGCUUCUCAUCUUUCCCACAUCUACAAUAUAGCUGCAGUCAGCAUUUUUCUUUGCCAAAGAUACAAUAUUUUACUUUGAAAAUUUUUGAGCUGGUUUAACUCUUAUUUAUUUAGGCACAGUAGGUUGUGCAAUGUUAAUUAAGACAGAUCCACUUGGUUGGCAUUCUUGCUAACUCAGGUAGCCUUUGCCUAACAAACAUCACCUUUGGGAUCAAAUUUAGUCCAUGAAUCUGACCCAAAUUGUAUCAGCUCUCUUAGGAUCUUUUUUAACUAUGAAAUGGACAUAAUUUACCAUAAAUGCCAUGUAGCCAACAGAGAAACCUAAUAAAUAAAACAUGUGAUCUUUGUUAUAAGAAGAAAAAAGACUUAUAUCAAUGUCAAUUAAAAGGGAUAUGCAUGUUAACAAAGUCUCACUUACAACUACUUUAUCUAUG
RNAcentral lists this long non-coding RNA (460 nucleotides) under Trifolium pratense (red clover). RNAcentral describes it as "long non-coding RNA (TPRA_LNC010783)". The record is from RNAcentral. Lineage: Eukaryota; Viridiplantae; Streptophyta; Magnoliopsida; Fabales; Fabaceae.